AUUGAACGCUGGCGGCAGGCCUAACACAUGCAAGUCGAGCGGAUGAAGGGAGCUUGCUCCUGGAUUCAGCGGCGGACGGGUGAGUAAUGCCUAGGAAUCUGCCUGGUCGUGGGGGAUAACGUCCGGAAACGGGCGCUAAUACCGCAUACGUCCUGAGGGAGAAAGUGGGGGAUCUUCGGACCUCACGCUAUCAGAUGAGCCUAGGUCGGAUUAGCUAGUUGGUGGGGUAAAGGCCUACCAAGGCGACGAUCCGUAACUGGUCUGAGAGGAUGAUCAGUCACACUGGAACUGAGACACGGUCCAGACUCCUACGGGAGGCAGCAGUGGGGAAUAUUGGACAAUGGGCGAGAGCCUGAUCCAGCCAUGCCGCGUGUGUGAAGAAGGUCUUCGGAUUGUAAAGCACUUUAAGUUGGGAGGAAGGGCAGUAAGUUAAUACCUUGCUGUUUUGACGUUACCAACAGAAUAAGCACCGGCUAACUUCGUG
This 484-nucleotide ribosomal RNA is filed under the name uncultured bacterium. RNAcentral describes it as "partial 16S ribosomal RNA". It matches the Rfam family "Bacterial small subunit ribosomal RNA", at positions 30 to 507 of the family's 1533-position model. The record is from RNAcentral.